This 419-nucleotide ribosomal RNA is filed under the name uncultured bacterium. RNAcentral describes it as "bacterial SSU rRNA". It matches the Rfam family "Bacterial small subunit ribosomal RNA", at positions 357 to 775 of the family's 1533-position model. The record is from RNAcentral.
AGGAAUAUUGGUCAAUGGCCGGAAGGCUGAACCAGCCAUGCCGCGUGAAGGUCAGUGCCCUAUGGGCGUUAAACUUCUUUUGUGCGGGAGCAAUAAGGUCCACGUGUGGGCCGACGAGAGUACCGUACGAAUAAGCAUCGGCUAACUCCGUGCCAGCAGCCGCGGUAAUACGGGGGAUGCAAGCGUUAUCCGGAUUUAUUGGGUUUAAAGGGUGCGUAGGCGGGCUUUUAAGUCAGCGGUAAAAAUUCGGGGCUCAACCCCGUCCGGCCGUUGAAACUGGGGGCCUUGAGUGGGCGAGAAGAAGGCGGAAUGCGUGGUGUAGCGGUGAAAUGCAUAGAUAUCACGCAGAACUCCGAUUGCGAAGGCAGCUCACUAGACUGCAACUGACACUGAUGCUCGAAAGUGUGGGUAUCAAACAG